UAAAAGGUACGCCGGGGAUAACAGGCUGAUCUCCCCCAAGAGUCCACAUCGACGGGGAGGUUUGGCACCUCGAUGUCGGCUCAUCGCAUCCUGGGGCUGAAGGAGGUCCCAAGGGUUUGGCUGUUCGCCAAUUAAAGCGGUACGUGAGCUGGGUUUAGAACGUCGUGAGACAGUUCGGUCCCUAUCCGAUACGGGCGCAGGAGAUUUGAGGGAAGUUGCUCCUCGUACGAGAGGACCGGAGUGAACGAACCUCUAGUGCACCAGUUGUCACGCCAGUGGCAUAGCUGGGUAGCUAUGUUCGGCAGGGAUAACCGCUGAAAGCAUCUAAGCGGGAAGCCCCUCCCAAGAUAAGAUCUCCCGUGGCGCAAGCCACCUAAAGGCUCCUUGGAGACUACAAGGUUGAUAGGCCGGAGGUGUAAGUGCAGCAAUGCAUUCAGCCGACCGGUACUAAUAAGCCGUGCGGCUUAACCAGUUCUU
Molecule: ribosomal RNA, 477 nt
Filed under: Candidatus Latescibacterota bacterium
Lineage: Bacteria; Pseudomonadati; Candidatus Latescibacterota
Description: bacterial LSU rRNA
Rfam family: Bacterial large subunit ribosomal RNA
Source: RNAcentral